AACGAACGCUGGCGGCAGGCCUAACACAUGCAAGUCGAGCGAGAACUUCGGUUCUAGCGGCGGACGGGUUAGUAACGCGUGGGAAUAUGCCCUUCACUACGGAAUAGUCCCGGGAAACUGGGUUUAAUACCGUAUACGCCCUUCGGGGGAAAGAUUUAUCGGUGAAGGAUUAGCCCGCGUUGGAUUAGGUAGUUGGUGGGGUAAUGGCCUACCAAGCCGACGAUCCAUAGCUGGUUUGAGAGGAUGAUCAGCAACACUGGGACUGAGACACGGCCCAGACUCCUACGGGAGGCAGCAGUGGGGAAUCUUAGACAAUGGGGGCAACCCUGAUCUAGCCAUGCCGCGUGAGUGAUGAAGGCCUUCGGGUUGUAAAGUACUUUCAGCGGGGAGGAAGGGAGUAAAGUUAAUACCUUUGCUCAUUGACGUUACCCGCAGAAGAAGCACCGGCUAACUCCGUGCCAGCCGCCGCAGUAACAC
RNAcentral lists this ribosomal RNA (477 nucleotides) under uncultured bacterium. RNAcentral describes it as "bacterial SSU rRNA". It matches the Rfam family "Bacterial small subunit ribosomal RNA", at positions 29 to 526 of the family's 1533-position model. The record is from RNAcentral.